ACACUUACCUGACAGGGGAGACGCCACGCUCACAAGCGUAGUUUUCGGGGCGAGGCUUAUGCAUUGCACUCCAGAUGUGCUGACCCCUGCGAUUUCCCAAGCAUGGGAAACUCGGCUGCAUCAUUCAUGGUAGUGGCAGACUGUGUUGGUGCUCUUCCCUG
Phyllostomus hastatus (greater spear-nosed bat) is the source of this 161-nucleotide small nuclear RNA. RefSeq annotates it as U1 spliceosomal RNA. The transcript has a single exon. Lineage: Eukaryota; Metazoa; Chordata; Mammalia; Chiroptera; Phyllostomidae. The record is from RefSeq and is a predicted model, not a curated record.